Molecule: long non-coding RNA, 241 nt
Organism: Pantherophis guttatus
Lineage: Eukaryota; Metazoa; Chordata; Lepidosauria; Squamata; Colubridae
Source: RefSeq, a predicted model, not a curated record
AGACAAAUGGAAGAAGCAAGAGGCAGGAAAUAAUGUCUUCCCAAACCAGGAUCAGAAAGAAAGAAGAGUUGCAAGAAACAAUCUGUGGGGAGAAACAUUUUAGAGCUUUCUCAGUUUUACAGAACAUUUUCUACAGUUGAAUGCUAAUUCUCCUGCCCCGCCUCCACCCCUUUUAUACUUCCUCGUCAAAACCUGCCUUUAUGAGAGACCCAUAUUAUUAAAUAGCCGGCUGCACCAAUGA